UAGGGAAUCUUCCACAAUGGACGCAAGUCUGAUGGAGCAACGCCGCGUGAGUGAAGAAGGUCUUCGGAUCGUAAAGCUCUGUUGUUGGUGAAGAAGGAUAGAGGCAGUAACUGGUCUUUAUUUGACGGUAAUCAACCAGAAAGUCACGGCUAACUACGUGCCAGCAGCCGCGGUAAUACGUAGGUGGCAAAGCGUUGUCCGGAUUUAUUGGGCGUAAAGCGAGCGCAGGCGGAAUGAUAAGUCUGAUGUGAAAGCCCACGGCUCAACCGUGGAACUGCAUCGGAAACUGUCAUUCUUGAGUGCAGAAGAGGAGAGUGGAACUCCAUGUGUAGCGGUGGAAUGCGUAGAUAUAUGGAAGAACACCAGUGGCGAAGGCGGCUCUCUGGUCUGCAACUGACGCUGAGGCUCGAAAGCAUGGGUAGCGAACAGGAUUAGAUACCCUGGUAGUCCAUGCC
Molecule: ribosomal RNA, 455 nt
Filed under: uncultured bacterium
Lineage: Bacteria
Description: partial 16S ribosomal RNA
Rfam family: Bacterial small subunit ribosomal RNA
Source: RNAcentral